CCUACGGGAGGCUGCAGUGGGGAAUAUUGGGCAAUGGGCGCAAGCCUGACCCAGCAAUGCCGCGUGAAGGAAGAAGGCUUUCGGGUUGUAAACUUCUUUGACAGGGGAAGAGCAGAAGACGGUACCCUGAAAACAAGCCACGGCUAACUACGCGCCAGCAGCCGCGGUAAUACGUAGGUGGCAAGCGUUGUCCGGAUUUACUGGGUGUAAAGGGCGUGUAGCCGGGAAGGCAAGUCAGAUGUGAAAUCUGGAGGCUCAACCUCCAAAUUGCAUUUGAAACUGUUUUUCUUGAGUACUGGAGAGGCAGACGGAAUUCCUUGUGUAGCGGUGAAAUGCGUAGAUAUCAAGAGGAACACCAGUGGCGAAGGCGGUCUGCUGGACAGCAACUGACGGUGAGGCGCGAAAGCGUGGGGAGCAAACAGGAUUAGAUACCCCAGUAGUC
This 442-nucleotide ribosomal RNA is filed under the name uncultured bacterium. RNAcentral's name for it is "partial 16S ribosomal RNA". It matches the Rfam family "Bacterial small subunit ribosomal RNA", at positions 338 to 795 of the family's 1533-position model. The record is from RNAcentral.